GACGAACGCUGGCGGCGUGCUUAACACAUGCAAGUCGAACGGAAAGGCCCUGCUUUUGUGGUGUGCUCGAGUGGCGAACGGGUGAGUAACACGUGAGUAACCUGCCCUUGACUUUGGGAUAACUUCAGGAAACUGGGGCUAAUACCGGAUAGGAGCUCCUGCUGCAUGGUGGGGGUUGGAAAGUUUCGGCGGUUGGGGAUGGACUCGCGGCUUAUCAGCUUGUUGGUGGGGUAGUGGCUUACCAAGGCUUUGACGGGUAGCCGGCCUGAGAGGGUGACCGGCCACAUUGGGACUGAGAGACGGACCAGACUCCUACGGGAGGCAGCAGUGGGGAAUAUUGCACAAUGGGCGGAAGCCUGAUGCAGCAACGCCGCGUGCGGGAUGACGGCCUUCGGGUUGUAAACCGCUUUCGCCUGUGACGAAGCGUGAGUGACGGUAAUGGGUAAAGAAGCACCGGCUAACUACGUG
RNAcentral lists this ribosomal RNA (468 nucleotides) under uncultured bacterium. RNAcentral's name for it is "partial 16S ribosomal RNA". It matches the Rfam family "Bacterial small subunit ribosomal RNA", at positions 28 to 507 of the family's 1533-position model. The record is from RNAcentral.